AAUAAGGCAACGACGAGAAAGAGUAGUUGGACCCCGUUCUUUUAACAGAGAGCUCCGGUAGGUGAAAAGGAGUAAAGAAACGUCUGACGAACAUGGUCUCAGAGCUGUGCAUUGAACCCUCUCAGAGAGGUAGUAGACCGCACCGGGCGCACCCGUUAACGUGCCAGGGUAUAAUCACCUCAUGUGGUGACGUACCUGUAGAGGCCAGUCUCCGUAAGGGAUCGGUAAAUUUAGGUGGAAACACGUGAGCGACAGCUUUCGUCCUUUUU
Molecule: non-coding RNA, 269 nt
Organism: Paenibacillus sp. Soil750
Lineage: Bacteria; Bacillati; Bacillota; Bacilli; Caryophanales; Paenibacillaceae
Source: Rfam